RNAcentral lists this unclassified non-coding RNA (835 nucleotides) under Hevea brasiliensis (rubber tree). The record is from RNAcentral. Lineage: Eukaryota; Viridiplantae; Streptophyta; Magnoliopsida; Malpighiales; Euphorbiaceae.
CAACAACGGUGAAUCUAACCACGCAAAUCAUAAACCCUCCCCCGACUGUUUCCGCCUCAUUCCCCUAUUUCUAAAACCCUACGCCCUUUCUCUCAAAAAAAAAAAAAAAAUACUGCCUCCUGCCCUCCCCCCAGAAAAACAGAAGUCCGAAGAUGAUGAGCUUAAUCCUCAGGAGAUCAUCUUCUCAAGGCCCAAGAUUUGCUCCGGCCUCCUUGACAUCCCUUGAAACGCUUUUACACCAGUUCUCAUCCACGUCGACGUACUUUGUUGUGCCCAGAAAUGGCGUUCUCUAUGUGGAGAGUAGACCGAGAAGCUCCUUUGGAUUUAAUAAUAAUAACAAAUGGAGGAACUUUCAUGUGCAAUCAGGGCCCUUGAAUUUUAGGGCAUCACUGACGUCGCAGGCAGAGUUUGCAGUCGACGAUUAUGGCUACGAGGAGGAGAAGGGGUUUGGAGGAAAAGGGAAUAUGAGUAUGAAUAGUAGUGAGGAAGGGCUUGAGAUUGGAAAACUGAGUAUUUCUGAAGAGAUUGUUUCUGCUUUGUCCAAAAGAGGCAUUACCACACUCUUCCCCAUACAGAAAGCUGUGCUCGAACCAGCAAUGAAAGGGAGAGACUUGUUUGGACGGGCUAGAACAGGAACAGGAAAGACUCUUGCAUUUGGAAUUCCCAUCAUUGAUCGAAUCAUUCAGUUCAAUCAAAAGCAUGGACGGGGUAGGAACCCUUUGGCCCUGGUUAUGGCUCCGACAAGGGAACUUGCACGCCAAGUUGAGAAAGAGUUUCGUGAGUCAGCACCCAGCCUGGAUACCAUAUGUCUAUAUGGGGGUACACCUAUUGUGCG